This 29-nucleotide non-coding RNA is filed under the name Rattus norvegicus (Norway rat). The record is from RNAcentral. Lineage: Eukaryota; Metazoa; Chordata; Mammalia; Rodentia; Muridae.
UUCCUAGCUUUUGGNGGCUGCUAGUAGUC